This 252-nucleotide ribosomal RNA is filed under the name uncultured bacterium. RNAcentral describes it as "partial 16S ribosomal RNA". It matches the Rfam family "Bacterial small subunit ribosomal RNA", at positions 524 to 776 of the family's 1533-position model. The record is from RNAcentral.
UACGGAGGAUGCGAGCGUUAUCCGGAUUUAUUGGGUUUAAAGGGUGCGUAGGCGGACGGUCAAGUCAGCGGUAAAAAUGCGGUGCUCAACGCCGUACAGCCGUUGAAACUGGGUGCCUUGAGUGGGCGAGAAGUACGCGGAAUGCGUGGUGUAGCGGUGAAAUGCAUAGAUAUCACGCAGAACUCCGAUCGCGAAGGCAGCCUACCGGCGCGCGACUGACGCUCAUGCACGAAAGCGUGGGUAUCGAACAGG